RNAcentral lists this transfer RNA (59 nucleotides) under Archaeocroton sphenodonti (tuatara tick). RNAcentral describes it as "tRNA-Ile". Lineage: Eukaryota; Metazoa; Arthropoda; Arachnida; Ixodida; Ixodidae. The record is from RNAcentral.
AGUAAAAUGCCUGAUAUAAAAGGGCUAUCUUGAUAGGAUAAAUAAUGUAUUUUUUACUU